RNAcentral lists this ribosomal RNA (248 nucleotides) under uncultured bacterium. RNAcentral's name for it is "partial 16S ribosomal RNA". It matches the Rfam family "Bacterial small subunit ribosomal RNA", at positions 109 to 353 of the family's 1533-position model. The record is from RNAcentral.
AGUAACACGUGGGUAACCUGCCUUAUAGUGGGGGAUAGCCUUUCGAAAGGAAGAUUAAUACCGCAUAAGAUUGUAGUAUCGCAUGAUAUAGCAAUUAAAGGAGCAAUUCGCUAUAAGAUGGACCCGCGUCGCAUUAGCUAGUUGGUGAGGUAACGGCUCACCAAGGCGACGAUGCGUAGCCGACCUGAGAGGGUGAUCGGCCACAUUGGGACUGAGACACGGCCCAGACUCCUACGGGAGGCAGCAUG